Molecule: long non-coding RNA, 892 nt
Filed under: Xyrichtys novacula (pearly razorfish)
Lineage: Eukaryota; Metazoa; Chordata; Actinopteri; Labriformes; Labridae
Source: RNAcentral
GAUAACCUCUCCACUUCAUUUACACUUGCAAUUAUUCUGAACAUCACAACUUGACUACAAAGAAUGAAAACAUUAGCAAUGUGCCUAGUUACUGUUUCUCCAAUAUGAUGACUUCUUCAUUUGUCAGCAUGUAACUGAUGUGAUCUCUCCUCUCCUCAAUGUUUCAACAAAUAUACCAUACAUCUUAUGAUUGCUCCAGCUGAAGACUGACCAGCCCAUCAUUACUCCACCUUUGGUGAGAUGAGACCCUGAUGGAUUACUGAAACAAUAAUCAAUUGGUAAGUGUGACUUUCAAUUUAUACUUAACUAUUUUCAUUCAUAAACUAUACUACUUGUGUAAGCACGCAAUGUGUCUCUUCCUCAGAAAGGAUGCAUACAAAAGUGGUAUAUGAUUGUAAUUACAAUGAAUUCUAACUGUGUGAUUAUGUAACUGAUGUGUCAUGUCUUCACAACAUGUAACCACGUAUUUAUCCCAUGACAACACCAUCACAGGAGAUAUCAGCCACUGCCAACUCCAGCCAGAAACUAAUGCAUGCUAAGCAGGUGUGUUAUAACUAUAUGUUGAUUGAUUCUCAUUAUGUGAACAUGUAACUAAUAUAUUGUCUCUUCUUUACAGCCUGUGACCAACCACUCAACCCAUGUAGCAAUCAAGACAACCCUGGAUGUGAAACCCACACAUUCCUCACAGGAAAGUUUCCUUAUCUGGCCCCAGGAAACAGGAUAUAAAUCUUUCCAGACUCGUUUACACUUCAGGUUACCUAAAUGACCCAACCGGAGGCUGACUAAACCUCUGACUCUUCAUGAUUGGUCAAUUCGGAGAACAGAGACAGAGUUUUUAUUACCUUUCAAACUGACUCCAUCGCUGACCAUCUAAAUAAACAUUGACGUCUCA